This 433-nucleotide ribosomal RNA is filed under the name uncultured bacterium. RNAcentral describes it as "partial 16S ribosomal RNA". It matches the Rfam family "Bacterial small subunit ribosomal RNA", at positions 29 to 507 of the family's 1533-position model. The record is from RNAcentral.
AGCGAACGCUGGCGGCAGGCCUAACACAUGCAAGUCGAACGAACUCUUCGGAGUUAGUGGCGGACGGGGGAGUAACACGUGGGAACGUGCCUUUUGGUUCGGAAUAACUCAGGGAAACUUGUGCUAAUACCGAAUGUGCCCUGCGGGGGAAAGAUUUAUCGCCAUUAGAGCGGCCCGCGUCUGAUUAGCUAGUUGGGGAGGUAACGGCUCACCACGGCGACGAUCAGUAGCUGGUCUGAGAGGAUGGCCCGCCACACUGGGACUGAGACACGGCCCAGACUCCUACGGGAGGCAGCAGUGGGGGAUCUUGCGCAAUCGGCGAAAGCCUGACGCAGCCAUGCCGCGUGAAUGAUGAAGGUCUUAGGAUUGUAAAAUUCUUUCACCGGGGACGAUAAUGACGGUACCCGGAGAAGAAGCCCCGGCUAACUUCGUG